AUCCAGAUGUUUACUGAUCUCAGAAACUGUUUUAUCGAUCUAAAACAUCAGCGGUAAACAUCAGGUCUUGGUGUCAGUCCCUCACAAUCGAAGAGCGAGGCU
Long non-coding RNA from Myripristis murdjan (pinecone soldierfish), 102 nucleotides. RefSeq lists it as uncharacterized. The record is from RefSeq and is a predicted model, not a curated record. The transcript is spliced from 5 exons. Lineage: Eukaryota; Metazoa; Chordata; Actinopteri; Holocentriformes; Holocentridae.